RNAcentral lists this ribosomal RNA (473 nucleotides) under uncultured organism. Its description in RNAcentral is "partial 16S ribosomal RNA". It matches the Rfam family "Bacterial small subunit ribosomal RNA", at positions 332 to 797 of the family's 1533-position model. The record is from RNAcentral.
UACACUCCCACGGGAGGCAGCAGUGGGGAAUUUUGGACAAUGGGGGCAACCCUGAUCCAGCAAUGCCGCGUGAGUGAAGAAGGCCUUCGGGUUGUAAAGCUCUUUUGUCAGGGAAGAAACGGUGGUGGCGAAUAACUACUACUAAUGACGGUACCUGAAGAAUAAGCACCGGCUAACUACGUGCCAGCAGCCGCGGUAAUACGUAGGGUGCAAGCGUUAAUCGGAAUUACUGGGCGUAAAGCGUGCGCAGGCGGUUGUGUAAGUCAGAUGUGAAAUCCCCGGGCUCAACCUGGGAAUUGCAUUUGAGACUGCACGGCUAGAGUGUGUCAGAGGGGGGUAGAAUUCCACGUGGAGCAGUGAAAUGCGUAGAUAUGUGGAGGAAUACCGAUGGCGAAGGCAGCCCCCUGGGAUAACACUGACGCUCAUGCACGAAAGCGUGGGGAGCAAACAGGAUUAGAAACCCCUGUAGUCCC